AGGAGCUGGCUUUGGACAGACUACUCGUGAACUCGGUCAGGUCUGGAAGGAAGCAGCCGUAGCGAUUUUUGUCUGGGUUGAGGUCAGUUUCUCAC
Molecule: signal recognition particle RNA, 95 nt
Filed under: Rhodospirillaceae bacterium
Lineage: Bacteria; Pseudomonadati; Pseudomonadota; Alphaproteobacteria; Rhodospirillales; Rhodospirillaceae
Description: signal recognition particle sRNA small type
Rfam family: Bacterial small signal recognition particle RNA
About the family: The signal recognition particle (SRP) is a universally conserved ribonucleoprotein involved in the co-translational targeting of proteins to membranes. Archaeal SRP consists of a 7S RNA and homologues of the eukaryotic SRP19 and SRP54 proteins. In most bacteria, the SRP consists of a 4.5S RNA and the Ffh protein (a homologue of the eukaryotic SRP54 protein).
Source: RNAcentral